Long non-coding RNA from Aedes albopictus (Asian tiger mosquito), 423 nucleotides. RefSeq lists it as uncharacterized. NCBI's taxonomy places the organism in Eukaryota, Metazoa, Arthropoda, Insecta, Diptera, Culicidae. The record is from RefSeq and is a predicted model, not a curated record. The transcript is spliced from 3 exons.
ACACAGUGAAAAGCACACUUACUGGCCGAAAACAAUCCCGCCGUAAUACACAGCAUUUAGCAGUCGACACUACCAAUCAUACCGAAUAGCCGAUCAAACGAUAGCCGCCAUGAUUCAAACCUACAGUUUAUGUUAGAUAGAUGUAUGUCGCUCGCUGUUAUCUGUAGUGUGCAGUGCAAGUUGUCCCAAAAAGAUCAAGAAAAAUUUAUGUGUUUUAUGUUAAAUGGCAUUACAAGAAGCUCCAACUCUCAAACUGCAUUCAAAAACCGCAUAACGAGAGACGGUUGACUGCUUAUCCCUUGAAAAAGGUCCAAUACACGGGACCGAAACGUCGGGCUAUGCCAAACUAGCCGUUUCAAUGCUCUUAGACUGAGAAAGCCACAACAGUUCAACAUUUCCUCCCAGUCGUAUACCUCCUACAAU